RNAcentral lists this transfer RNA (74 nucleotides) under Planctopirus limnophila DSM 3776. Its description in RNAcentral is "tRNA-Arg (TCG) (tRNA-Arg-TCG-1-1)". It matches the Rfam family "tRNA". Rfam says of the family: Transfer RNA (tRNA) molecules are approximately 80 nucleotides in length. The record is from Rfam by way of RNAcentral. RNAcentral also lists the same sequence under 2 other names. Lineage: Bacteria; Pseudomonadati; Planctomycetota; Planctomycetia; Planctomycetales; Planctomycetaceae.
GCACCCCUAGCUCAAUUGGAUAGAGCAACGGUCUUCGGAACCGUAGGUUAGUGGUUCGACUCCACUGGGGUGCA